Molecule: ribosomal RNA, 253 nt
Filed under: uncultured bacterium
Lineage: Bacteria
Description: partial 16S ribosomal RNA
Rfam family: Bacterial small subunit ribosomal RNA
Source: RNAcentral
UACGUAGGGUGCAAGCGUUGUCCGGAAUUAUUGGGCGUAAAGCGCGUGUAGGCGGCUUUGCAAGUCGGGUGUGAAAGCCCUCAGCUCAACUGAGGAAGUGCGCCCGAAACUGCAGAGCUUGAGUGCCGGAGAGGGUGGCGGAAUUCCCCAAGUAGAGGUGAAAUUCGUAGAUAUUGGGAAGAACACCGGUGGCGAAGGCGGCUCUCUGGACCGAGACUGACGCUGAGGCGCGAAAGCGUGGGGAGCAAACAGG